Long non-coding RNA from Helianthus annuus (common sunflower), 441 nucleotides. RefSeq lists it as uncharacterized. The record is from RefSeq and is a predicted model, not a curated record. Lineage: Eukaryota; Viridiplantae; Streptophyta; Magnoliopsida; Asterales; Asteraceae. The transcript is spliced from 3 exons.
GUCGUUAACGUUUGGAACAUGGACUUGCUAUCUGGGAGUGCUGGAGUGGUCAUGGAUCGAGACGCUUGGAUUCACUUAUAAACGAUGCAUUGAUUUUGAUUAUUAUUAUGAAACGAUUACAUGCUUCCGCUACACAACUUUUGAGAAUUGAUAUCAUGUAGACAUCUUAUUUGGUGGAAUUUGGGGGUGUUACAUAAUGCUUCGUUGGGACGACACCGUUACAAUGAACAACGGAGCUCUGCAAUGGGUCCACAUAAACAGGCGCAAACGGAUAUCAAGCCACGAGGAGGCAGCCUACAAGUUCGGAUCAACGGUUCAAUCUGACCCAUUUAGGCCCAUUGGGCCAAUGUAUAAAAAUUAAAUCUUUUGCCUUUUUUUAUUUUUCGAGCAAGUACCGGAACUACAACAAAGAAUCUCAAUUAUUUGGUGUACUCUCUAUCA